GACGAACGCUGGCGGCGUGCUUAACACAUGCAAGUCGAACGGAAAGGCCCUGCUUUUGUGGGGUGCUCGAGUGGCGAACGGGUGAGUAACACGUGAGUAACCUGCCCUUGACUUUGGGAUAACUUCAGGAAACUGGGGCUAAUACCGGAUAGGAGCUCCUGCUGCAUGUUGGGGGUUGGAAAGUUUCGGCGGUUGGGGAUGGACUCGCGGCUUAUCAGCUUGUUGGUGGGGUAGUGGCUUACCAAGGCUUUGACGGGUAGCCGGCCUGAGAGGGUGACCGGCCACAUUGGGACUGAGAUACGGCCCAGACUCCUACGGGAGGCAGCAGUGGGGAAUAUUGCACAAUGGGCGGAAGCCUGAUGCAGCAACGCCGCGUGCGGGAUGACGGCCUUCGGGUUGUAAACCGAUUUCGCCUGUGACGAAGCGUGAGUGACGGUAAUGGGUAAAGAAGCACCGGCUAACUACGUG
Molecule: ribosomal RNA, 468 nt
Filed under: uncultured bacterium
Lineage: Bacteria
Description: partial 16S ribosomal RNA
Rfam family: Bacterial small subunit ribosomal RNA
Source: RNAcentral